Molecule: ribosomal RNA, 253 nt
Filed under: uncultured bacterium
Lineage: Bacteria
Description: partial 16S ribosomal RNA
Rfam family: Bacterial small subunit ribosomal RNA
Source: RNAcentral
UACGUAGGGCGCAAGCGUUGUCCGGAAUUAUUGGGCGUAAAGAGCUCGUAGGCGGCUUGUCACGUCGGAUGUGAAAGCCCGGGGCUUAACCCCGGGUCUGCAUUCGAUACGGGCAGGCUAGAGUGUGGUAGGGGAGAUCGGAAUUCCUGGUGUAGCGGUGAAAUGCGCAGAUAUCAGGAGGAACACCGAUGGCGAAGGCAGGUCUCUGGGCCGAUACUGACGCUGAGGAGCGAAAGCGUGGGGAGCGAACAGG